CUGCAGCUCAAGUGGUCAGGAUGAUUAUUGGGCCUAAAGCAUCCGUAGCCGGCGCUGUAAGUUUUCGGUUAAAUCUGUACGCUCAACGUACAGGCUGCCGGGAAUACUGCAGCGCUAGGGAGUGGGAGAGGUAGACGGUACUCGGUAGGAAGGGGUAAAAUCCUUUGAUCUAUUGAUGACCACCUGUGGCGAAGGCGGUCUACCAGAACACGUCCGACGGUGAGGGAUGAAAGCUGGGGGAGCAAACCGGAUUAGAUACCCGAGUAGUCC
This 270-nucleotide ribosomal RNA is filed under the name uncultured archaeon. RNAcentral describes it as "partial 16S ribosomal RNA". It matches the Rfam family "Archaeal small subunit ribosomal RNA", at positions 477 to 747 of the family's 1478-position model. The record is from RNAcentral.